RNAcentral lists this ribosomal RNA (1815 nucleotides) under Dermacentor andersoni. RNAcentral's name for it is "small subunit ribosomal RNA". It matches the Rfam family "Eukaryotic small subunit ribosomal RNA". The record is from RNAcentral. Lineage: Eukaryota; Metazoa; Arthropoda; Arachnida; Ixodida; Ixodidae.
UACCUGGUUGAUCCUGCCAGUAAUCAUAUGCUUGUCUCAAAGAUUAAGCCAUGCAUGUCUAAGUACAUGCCGAAAUAAGGCGAAACCGCGAAUGGCUCAUUAAAUCAGUUAUGGUUCCUUAGAUCGUUUCUUCCUACUUGGAUAACUGUGGCAAUUCUAGAGCUAAUACAUGCAGUGAGCCUGAAGCCCUUUGGGCGACGGGUGCUUUUAUUAGACCAAGAUCGAUCGGGUUUCGGCCCGUAUUGUGUGGUGACUCUGGAUAACUUUGUGCUGAUCGCAUGGCCACGAGCCGGCGACGUUUCUUUCAAGUGUCUGCCUUAUCAACUUUCGAUGGUAGGUUACUUGCUUACCAUGGUUGUUACGGGUAACGGAGAAUCAGGGUUCGAUUCCGGAGAGGGAGCCUGAGAAACGGCUACCACAUCCAAGGAAGGCAGCAGGCGCGCAAAUUACCCACUCCCGGCACGGGGAGGUAGUGACGAAAAAUAACAAUACGGGACUCUUUUGAGGCCCCGUAAUUGAAAUGAGUACACUCUAAAUCCUUUAACGAGGAUCAAUUGGAGGGCAAGUCUGGUGCCAGCAGCCGCGGUAAUUCCAGCUCCAAUAGCGUAUACUAAAGCUGCUGCGGUUAAAAAGCUCGUAGUUGGAUCUCAGUUCCAGACGAGUAGUGCAUUUACCCGAUGCGACGGCUCGGACUGAACAUCAUGCCGGUCCUUUCUUGGUGCACUUCAUUGUGUGCCUCGAGAAGGCCGGUGCUUUUACUUUGAAAAAAUUAGAGUGCUCAACGCAGGCGAGUCGCCUGAAUAAACUUGCAUGGAAUAAUAGAACAAGACCUCGUUUCUGUUCUGUUGGUUUUUGGAAUACGAGGUAAUGAUUAAGAGGGACAGACGGGGGCAUUCGUAUUGCGGCGCUAGAGGUGAAAUUCUUGGACCGUCGCAAGACGAACUACUGCGAAAGCAUUUGCCAAGAAUGUUUUCUUUGAUGAAGAACGAAAGUCAGAGGUUCGAAGGCGAUCAGAUACCGCCCUAGUUCUGACCAUAAACGAUGCCAACCAGCGAUCCGCCUGAGUUACUCAAAUGACUCGGCGGGCAGCUUCCGGGAAACCAAAGUGUUUGGGUUCCGGGGGAAGUAUGGUUGCAAAGCUGAAACUUAAAGGAAUUGACGGAAGGGCACCACCAGGAGUGGAGCCUGCGGCUUAAUUUGACUCAACACGGGAAAACUUACCCGGCCCGGACACUGGGAGGAUUGACAGAUUGAGAGCUCUUUCUUGAUUCGGUGGAUGGUGGUGCAUGGCCGUUCUUAGUUGGUGGAGCGAUUUGUCUGGUUAAUUCCGAUAACGAACGAGACUCUAGCCUAUUGAAUAGGUGCGGGGUUCCCAGCACCUUACAACCUUCUUAGAGGGACAAGCGGCUCCUAGCCGCAGGAAACAGAGCAAUAACAGGUCUGUGAUGCCCUUAGAUGUCCGGGGCCGCACGCGCGCUACACUGAAGGAAGCAGCGUGUCUUUAUCCCUGUCUGAAAAGACUGGGUAACCCGUGGAACUUCUUUCGUGAUUGGGAUAGGGGCUUGCAAUUGUUCCCCUUGAACGAGGAAUUCCCAGUAAGCGCGAGUCAUAAGCUCGCGUUGAUUACGUCCCUGCCCUUUGUACACACCGCCCGUCGCUACUACCGAUUGAAUGAUUUAGUGAGGUCUUCGGACCGAUGUCCGGCGCGGCCUUUCGGUUGCGCCGGUCUGUUGGAAACAUGACCAAACUUGAUCAUUUAGAGGAAGUAAAAGUCGUAACAAGGUUUCCGUAGGUGAACCUGCGGAAGGAUCAUUA